ACGCUGGCGGCAGGCCUAACACAUGCAAGUCGAGCGGUAGAGAGAAGCUUGCUUCUCUUGAGAGCGGCGGACGGGUGAGUAAUGCCUAGGAAUCUGCCUGGUAGUGGGGGAUAACGUUCGGAAACGGACGCUAAUACCGCAUACGUCCUACGGGAGAAAGCAGGGGACCUUCGGGCCUUGCGCUAUCAGAUGAGCCUAGGUCGGAUUAGCUAGUUGGUGGGGUAAUGGCUCACCAAGGCGACGAUCCGUAACUGGUCUGAGAGGAUGAUCAGUCACACUGGAACUGAGACACGGUCCAGACUCCUACGGGAGGCAGCAGUGGGGAAUAUUGGACAAUGGGCGAAAGCCUGAUCCAGCCAUGCCGCGUGUGUGAAGAAGGUCUUCGGAUUGUAAAGCACUUUAAGUUGGGAGGAAGGGCCAUUACCUAAUACGUGAUGGUUUUGACGUUACCGACAGAAUAAGCACCGGCUAACUCUGUCCCAGCAGCCGCGGUAAUACAGAGGGUGCAAGCGUUAAUCGGAAUUACUGGGCGUAAAGCGCGCGUAGGUGGUUUGUUAAGCUGGAUGUGAAAUCCCCGGGCUCAACCUGGGAACUGCAUUCAAAACUGACUGACUAGAGUAUGGUAGAGGGUGGUGGAAUUUCCUGUGUAGCGGUGAAAUGCGUAGAUAUAGGAAGGAACACCAGUGGCGAAGGCGACCACCUGGACUGAUACUGACACUGAGGUGCGAAAGCGUGGGGAGCAAAC
This 745-nucleotide ribosomal RNA is filed under the name uncultured bacterium. RNAcentral describes it as "bacterial SSU rRNA". It matches the Rfam family "Bacterial small subunit ribosomal RNA", at positions 33 to 773 of the family's 1533-position model. The record is from RNAcentral.